UAAACCCACCAAGGCAAAAGCCAGAACCUUGUAGCUUGGUCAGCAAGGGGGAAGGAAACUGAACUCUUGAAGCCUGACGACAAAGCCAUCGGAAGGAUGGUGAGGGAGUAUCCGGGCCGUAACGAAAGUGAACGCACAGGUAGCCUCGAAACCCUUAUUCCCGGAAGCCGAAUCCAUGGUACAGGGAUGAAGGCAACAUGAAUUCACGAAAACUGGAUGAAACGUGGAUUCAUUCUGGCGGGGUGAUAGCGAC
This is a non-coding RNA of Kosmotoga olearia TBF 19.5.1, 253 nucleotides long. NCBI's taxonomy places the organism in Bacteria, Thermotogati, Thermotogota, Thermotogae, Kosmotogales, Kosmotogaceae. The record is from Rfam.